GGUGGUAGUGAGCAUCCUUAUCUUGUUCCUGAUCUUAGAGGAACUACUUUCAGGUUUUUCACUAUUGAGCAUAAUGUGAGGUGUGGGCUUAUCGUAUGUGGCCUUUAUGAUGUUGAAGUAGGUUCCCUCUAUCCCAACAUUGAUGAGAGUUUUUAGCAUGAAUGGAUGUUGAAUUUUUUUAAUGCUUUUCCUAUAUCUAUUGAGAUGAUCAUAUGAUUUUUAUUUUUCAGUUUGUAAAUGUGGUGUAUAACAUUGAAUGAUUUGCGGAUAUUGAAAAAUCUUGCAUUCCUGGGAUAAAUUCCUCUUGAUGUGGGCUGUGAUCCUUUUAAUGAAUUGUUGGAUUUUGUUUGCUAAUAUUUUGGGGGGAUUUUUACAUCUAUGUUCAUCAGUGAUAAUCAGUGAAAAUUAAAGCCUGUAAUUUUCCUUUUCUUGUGGUAUCUUCAUUUGAUUUUAGUGUCAGGGUGAUGCUGGCCUCAUAGAAUGAAUUUUUGAAAGUGUUCCUUCCUGCACAAUUUUUUGGAAUAGUUGUAGAAGGAUAGGUAUUAACUCUUCUUUAAAUAUUUUGUAUAAUUCACCUAUGAAGCCCUCUGGUCCUAGACCUUUGUUUGUUUGGAAAUUUUAAAGUACUAACUCAGUUUAAUUUCUGGCAAUUAGACUUUUUGUAUUUUCUUUUUUUUUUUUUUUUCCCAUGCCUGUGGCAUGUGGAAAUUCCUGGACCAGGGAUCAAACCUGCGCCACAGCAGUGAUCUGAGCUGCUGCAGUGACAGCGAUGGAUUCUUAACCAGCUGCACCAGAAGGGAACUCCUGUUCAUAUUUUCUGUUUCUUCCUGAUUCAGUCUUGGGAGAUUGUGCGUUUCUAGGAAUUUAUCUAUUUCUUCUAGGUUGACCAUUGUAUUGGUAUUUAAAUUUUUAUAGUAAUCUCUGUGAUUCUUUGUAUCUGUCUUGACAUUCUUAAUAUUUUUGGACAAGAGUCCCUGCAUUUUUUUUUUCUUUUUUGGCCACCCUGCAGUUUAUGGAGUUCCUGGGCCGGGGAUCAGAUCUGAGCCACAGUUGUGACCUAAGCCACAGUCAUGGCAACAACAUACCCUUAACCCACUGUGCCAGGCAGGGGAUUGAACCUGCUAUCCCAGUGCUAUAGAGCCACCACUAAUCCUGUUCCGCUACAGUGGGAAUACCUCUGCAUUUUUAUUUUACCCUGGACCUUACAAAUUACAUGGGCAUUCUGGCUUCUGGUGCCUUUUUACUUGGUGUAUUUACACAGGCUAUAAUCCCACAGAUAUCACUUAGGCAAACCAUUAUGCAAUCCAAGACAAUUUCAUUGUGGUUUGAUUUGCAUUUCCCUUAUGAUUAGUGAUGCUGAGAAUCUUUUUAUGUAUCUAGUGGCCAUCUGUAGUGUCUUCUUUGGAAAAAUGUAUGUUCAGGUUCUCUGUUUUUUUAAUCAGGUUGGUUUUUUUGAUGUUGAGUUGUAUGAAUUUUUUGUAUAUUUUGGAUAUUAAUCCCUUAACAGAGAUAUCAUUUGUAAAUAUUCUCUGUCAUUCAGUAGGUAGUCUGUUAUUUUAUUUUUUUUGUCUAUAGUUUCUUUCACUGUGGAAAAAAGCUUUUUAAUUUUAUGUAGUCCCAUUUUAAAAAACAUUUCAUUUUGUUUCCCUUGCCUGAGGAAACUUAACUUAAAAAAGUGUUGCUAAGACAAAUAUAAAAGAGCAUAUGCCUGUUUUCUUUUAGGAAUCUUAUGGUUCUGGUCUUAUAUUUCAGUCUUUAAUCUAUUUUUGGUUAAUUUAAUUUAAUUCAAUUUAAUUUAAUGCCAUACUGGCAGCAUAUGGAAGUUCCUGGGCCAAGGAUUGAACCCACACCACAGCAGCAACGCAAGCCACUUCAGUGGCAGCACCUGAUCCUUAACCUGCUGAGCCACCAGAGAGCUCCCUAGUUUAUUUUUUAUAUGAUGUGAGAGAGAAGUCCAGUUUGAUUUUUUGUAUGUAAUUGUUCAGUUUUCCUAUUACCAUUUAUUGACGAGACUGUCUUUCCCAUUGUAUAUCCUGCCUCCUUUGUUGUAGAUUAAUUGCCUAUAUAAAUAUAGGAUUCAGGGGAAGUGGGAGUGGAUGAAAUGUGAGGAGACCAGGAGUGACUGUGUACAGUUCUGUGACAACAUAUGCUGUGUGUGUGCCCUCCCUGAACAUCCAUUUUAUAUUUUUACACCCUGUCACAGAUAGGUUGAUUGAGGAUUAAUGAGACAAUUAUGCCAGGCACCUGGGAUGCUCUCUGAUGUAUGUUAAAUAAGAUCCAUAAUAAGUGAGUUCCUGGCCCCAGUUCUGAGAUGGGCCUUUUUAAAAGCAGAGAUGAAGCAAGCGUCUUUGGGUAGAGGAAGGUUUAGAAGUGAUUUUUGGUACAUCUGUUUGUUUUAGUCCCUGUGUAUAUAUGCAGAUUUUUUUUUUUUGUCUUCUCUAGGGCCCCUCCUGUGGCAUAUGGAGGUUCCCAGGCUAGGGGUCUAAUUGGAGCUAUAGCUGCCAGCCUAGACCAGAGCUACAGUAACACGGGAUCCAAGCCGCGUCUGCAACCUACACCACAGGUCAACAGCAAUGCUGGAUCCUUAACCCACUGACAAGGCCAGGGAUUGAACCCGCAACCUAAUGGUUCCUAGUCGGAUUCGUUAACCACUGAGCCAUGACGGGAACUCUCUAUAUAUGCAGAUUUUUAAGUGAGAGUCUGUCUCUAAAGUGGGCAGAGACUGAUAGCCUCCACUGAUGCUUGGAUAACAUGAGAGAUUACCCUCAGGAAAAAAAAAAAAA
This 2783-nucleotide long non-coding RNA is filed under the name Sus scrofa (pig). Its description in RNAcentral is "lncRNA (ENSSSCG00015000665.1)". Lineage: Eukaryota; Metazoa; Chordata; Mammalia; Artiodactyla; Suidae. The record is from RNAcentral.